RNAcentral lists this ribosomal RNA (253 nucleotides) under uncultured bacterium. RNAcentral's name for it is "partial 16S ribosomal RNA". It matches the Rfam family "Bacterial small subunit ribosomal RNA", at positions 524 to 776 of the family's 1533-position model. The record is from RNAcentral.
UACGUAGGGACCAAGCGUUGUUCGGAUUUACUGGGCGUAAAGGGCGCGUAGGCGGCAUGACAAGUCACUUGUGAAAUCUCCGGGCUUAACUCGGAACGGUCAAGUGAUACUGUCGCGCUAGAGUGCGGAAGGGGCAAUCAGAAUUCUUGGUGUAGCGGUGAAAUGCGUAGAUAUCAAGAGGAAUACCUGAGGUGAAGACGGGUUGCUGGGCCAACACUGACGCUGAGGCGCGAAAGCCAGGGGAGCAAACGGG